CGGACGAGUCGGCACGCUAGCCCUGUGCCAUUCACAAACGGGCUUCAUGGUGGACUUAAAGGAACGCGUGACGCUGAAAGCGCGGAGUCUUGCCUCUAACGUUGAGGUUUUGUCCUGCUCGACCGUACUCUUGCGAACCGGGUCAGGCCUUGAUCGGAGCAGCCCUAAGUAGGAUGUAUGGUGCUCGCAGGGUCGCAAAGCUGAGGAAGUCGCAAGGUCGCUUCUCGUUCUAAGCCGAGCAAGUUCCCCGUCCG
Molecule: signal recognition particle RNA, 254 nt
Filed under: Candidatus Pacearchaeota archaeon
Lineage: Archaea; Nanobdellati
Description: signal recognition particle sRNA large type
Rfam family: Bacterial large signal recognition particle RNA
About the family: The signal recognition particle (SRP) is a universally conserved ribonucleoprotein involved in the co-translational targeting of proteins to membranes. Archaeal SRP consists of a 7S RNA and homologues of the eukaryotic SRP19 and SRP54 proteins. In most bacteria, the SRP consists of a 4.5S RNA and the Ffh protein (a homologue of the eukaryotic SRP54 protein).
Source: RNAcentral